Gavialis gangeticus (Gharial) is the source of this 1119-nucleotide long non-coding RNA. RefSeq lists it as uncharacterized. NCBI's taxonomy places the organism in Eukaryota, Metazoa, Chordata, Crocodylia, Gavialidae. The transcript is spliced from 4 exons. The record is from RefSeq and is a predicted model, not a curated record.
AGUUAACAGUUCAAGUGCUAUGCAAAACAAAGAUGGUUUGAUCGAUUCAGGGUCUAGGUCAGAGAUAAUGGCUGCAAGCUAUUAUCAUAUUCUGGAUUCCCCACCACAUUAUCUAGUAUUAUGGCAUUUUUCAAUUUUUAUGAAUUAGAGUCUAACUUCUAUGAUGCCCAUAUAUCAUCAUUCUCUUUAUGUGCAUUACAGGAUGAAUUGAACCACCAAAGUUUAUAGUUUUAUAAUUCCUUACAGUAUCAUAUAUGGUAUAAUAUAAGGUUUUUGAAGCUCUCUUUGAAAAGGUCAUUUUGGCCUUGCAUAGUAAUUGUAAUACACCCAAUUCUUAAAUCUUCAUAAAUUUUACAAUUGUUUUGCAUUUGGCAGAGGGAAAUAGCUUUGAUUAACUAGCUUAGAAUCAGCAACUCAGCAUUUAUUUAAAAAAUACGGUAACUGUAAAGAAGACAAAAAUUGACUUGGAAGUAGGAAUUAUGAAUCAAACCCCACAGGAAAUGCAGAAAAAAAUGUGUUCUCCUUCCAGGUUUUUGGCACAAUUCUCCUGGAUGCAAAACGUCUUGGAGAAACUAACUCUGCACACUCUGCUAACUGUUCUACUUCCAGUUGACCCGCAGCUGUCUUCUGAGCUUUGGGGGCCUGCUUCUAUUGCAAGUGAAGUCAGUGUGGACUUUUGUCCCAGCAACAAAGAUUCUGUACACGCUUGCCAAGAUGGAUUGGUUACAGGUACUCAAAUCCAGUUAAAGUGUCCUUGGCAGUUGACUUAAUUGGAAAGUGACCUGCUAAGUGUUUUCCCACUCAUCAGCUGCCUUCCAGCAUCCUCAACAGCUUGUGUGAAGUGCUGCCAAUACAAGAGCUGAGAGUGAGAUUCCCAGCUUGCUGUGGGAGAGAAGAAAUCUGCUUAAAAUGAUUCCUAAAAAAUAUGCCUGGUCUGUGUAAUCAUUCAGCUGUGAGAUUUGUUUUAAAAGGGGGCUUACAUAGUGGAGCAAUCUUGAAAUGAAAAGGUAGUGCUCUUUCUCUGCUAGUGUUUUUAGUGUUCUUUCUAUUAUUUUUUCAGAUAUGUGACUGUGGCAAAGAGUCUGCACUUACAAUAACUUACUCUUGCUAACUGGCUUC